Molecule: ribosomal RNA, 637 nt
Filed under: uncultured bacterium
Lineage: Bacteria
Description: bacterial SSU rRNA
Rfam family: Bacterial small subunit ribosomal RNA
Source: RNAcentral
GCUUAACCGAAGAAGUGCAUCGGAAACUGGGUGACUUGAGUGCAGAAGAGGACAGUGGAACUCCAUGUGUAGCGGUGGAAUGCGUAGAUAUAUGGAAGAACACCAGUGGCGAAGGCGGCUGUCUGGUCUGCAACUGACGCUGAGGCUCGAAAGCAUGGGUAGCGAACAGGAUUAGAUACCCUGGUAGUCCAUGCCGUAAACGAUGAGUGCUAGGUGUUGGAGGGUUUCCGCCCUUCAGUGCCGGAGCUAACGCAUUAAGCACUCCGCCUGGGGAGUACGACCGCAAGGUUGAAACUCAAAGGAAUUGACGGGGGCCCGCACAAGCGGUGGAGCAUGUGGUUUAAUUCGAAGCUACGCGAAGAACCUUACCAGGUCUUGACAUCUUGCGCUAACCUAAGAGAUUAGGUGUUCCCUUCGGGGACGCAAUGACAGGUGGUGCAUGGUCGUCGUCAGCUCGUGUCGUGAGAUGUUGGGUUAAGUCCCGCAACGAGCGCAACCCUUGUUACUAGUUGCCAGCAUUCAGUUGGGCACUCUAGUGAGACUGCCGGUGACAAACCGGAGGAAGGUGGGGACGACGUCAGAUCAUCAUGCCCCUUAUGACCUGGGCUACACACGUGCUACAAUGGUCGGUACAACG